RNAcentral lists this ribosomal RNA (496 nucleotides) under uncultured bacterium. Its description in RNAcentral is "partial 16S ribosomal RNA". It matches the Rfam family "Bacterial small subunit ribosomal RNA", at positions 28 to 506 of the family's 1533-position model. The record is from RNAcentral.
GAUGAACGCUGGCGGCGUGCCUAAUACAUGCAAGUCGAGCGAACGGACGAGAAGCUUGCUUCUCUGAUGUUAGCGGCGGACGGGUGAGUAACACGUGGAUAACCUACCUAUAAGACUGGGAUAACUUCGGGAAACCGUAGCUAAUACCGGAUAAUAUUUUGAACCGCAUGGUUCAAAAGUGAAAGACGGUCUUGCUGUCACUUAUAGAUGGAUCCGCGCUGCAUUAGCUAGUUGGUAAGGUAACGGCUUACCAAGGCAACGAUGCAUAGCCGACCUGAGAGGGUAAUCGGCAAACAUGGAAUGAGGCACGGGCCCAAACCCCAAGGGGGGGCAGCAGUAGGGAAUCUUCCGAAAGGGGCGAAAGCCUGAAGGGGAAACGCCGGGGGGGUGAUGAAGGUUUUCGGAUCGUAAAACUUUGUUAUGAGGGAAGAACAAAUGUGUAAGUAACUGUGCACAUCUGGGCGGUACCUAAUCAAAAAACCACGGAGAACUACGU